Molecule: long non-coding RNA, 2321 nt
Filed under: Homo sapiens (human)
Lineage: Eukaryota; Metazoa; Chordata; Mammalia; Primates; Hominidae
Description: non-protein coding lnc-KCNMB1-3:7
Source: RNAcentral
GCUGACUCUUUUCAGACGCAGCCUGCCUGCACCCAGGUGAAAUAAACAGCCAUGUUGCUCACACAAAGCCUGUUUGGUGGUCUCUUCACACGGACAUGCAUGAAAUUUGGUGCCGUGACUCGGAUCGGGGGACCUCCCUUGGGAGAUCAAUCCCCUGUCCUCCUGCUCUUUGCUCCGUGAAAAAGAUCCACCUAUGACCUCAGGUCCUCAGACCCACCAGCCCAAGGAACAGCUCACCAAUUUUAAAUAGGGUAAGUGGCCUCUUCUUACUCUCUUCUCCAACCUCUCUCACUGUCCCUCAACCACUUUCUCCUUUCCACUCUUCAAUCUCUCCCUUCUCUUAAUUUCAAUUCCUUUGGCCUUCAUAUCCUGGGAAGAGAUAACAGGACAGUGAGAGGAGUGGAGAAAACACCUCCCUUCUUUCAUUGCUGCCUGUUCCAUUCAGGGAGCCCCUGUGACUCCAAAAGUGGCCUUUCUCCUCUGAGCAUCUUAACAGAGGUUUCAGUAGAGGGUACUAUACUAAAUAAUGCAGCCCUCCUUCUUUCUUCCAUGCCAGAGAAGUUUACAAAACAAGGAGGAAGACUUCUACACCUCACAGCCAGGAUUCCCUGCUCUGGCUCUCGGCUGCUGCCUCAGGGUGAAUCUGUUGCUAGGUCAUCGUGGCAUCUCUGCAGAAUUUUCUUCAUUUUUUUUGUAGAGUUGAGGUCUCACUAAGUUGCCCAGGCUGGUCUGGAACUCCUGGACUCGAGCAAUCCCCCCGCCUUGGCCUCCCAAAGUGCUGGGCUUACAGACAUGAGCCACCGUGUCCAGCUGACAGGAGGUCUUAACAUCCUUGUUUUUCGGACGAGGAAACUGAGGCGUGGAGAGGUGGAGACUUACACAAGAUCAUAGAGCGAAUAGAGGGCAGAGCUGGAGUCUGAAGUCAGUCUGACCGACCAUGAAACUCACAUGUCAUCCUGACACCAUUCCAAUCCUGUGAGGUAAGGAUUAUCAUCCCUGUUUCAUAGAUGAGGAGACAGGGGCUCAGAGAGGGGGACUUAUGUUCUUGAGGUCACACAGCAUGUCCAUCGCAGCAGUGGGGCUGGAGCCCAGCUUCUCAGACUCCAAGGGCCCCAGGAAAACCUUUCAUCCUGUUUCAGCCAAGCGACUGCACUCAGAGGAAGGCACAGGCCCUGGGAUGACGGGAACCUUUUGUUCUCUGGUCCCUGAUUCCUGACCCCAGUCCCCACCUCCAGCUCUGUGGAGCUGGGAAGAUUCCAGAGCAGACAACUCAGCUGCCUUUGUGACUGAAACCGAGAGUAAAUGAAGGAAUAUUUAUGAAGUCUCUGCAACUUGCCAGGUGCUUUCACUAUGCAACCCUCCCUGCAGCAGUCCCGAGAAUGUGAUCCUGAGUUUACUUCUGAUGAAAGCAAGGCUCAGAGGGGCCACCUGCCUAAGGGCGUGCAGCUGGAAUGCGGGGAGCCAGGACUCAAGCUCUGGUCUGUCUCAUUCACUUGGAAGCCAGGCCCCUUUCCUCCCUCCCGCUCUGCGUGCAGGAGCUCCGUGGUGGGGCAGCUGCCCCGAGGGAAGGUCCUUCUGACCGCCAGUGUCUGUGGCUGGCUGUCCAGGAAGCAGAGCCAGGACUGGCAGCUUGGGCUCCGAGGACUGCCUCUUCCUCUUGGCUGCCAGGGAGUUUCCAAUCAUCAGAAGAAACAGACUCUGGGAACAGCUCUGCCACUUGUCCCAGCCCUGCCCCAGCCUCUGAGCAACUGGAGCCCAGAUGCCCUGGCCCACCCUAAGCUAUCCAUAAGCACAGGUGGGCCUGAAGGAGGCUCCCUGCUGGGCGUGGGCGAGGGUCUUGGCCUUCUAGGUGGGACCCUGCCUGCCAGGGGACAGCCUCUUAGGUGGGUGGGAAAGAGCUCUGUACUUGGGGUCACAAAUGUGGCUUCUGGCCCUGCUCCACCAAGGGCCAGUGCGUGAUUUUAAAUAGAUCUCUUCGCCUCUCUGAGCCUUAGUUUCUUGGUCUAUAAAAAAAUGGGACCCUAACCUCUCCUCACUGCGGUGUGGGAGGGAAAAUGAGUCAAGGCAAGAAAGUGCUGGAAACUGAAAGCCCUGGGCAGGACCUGCUCCAUAAUUUGCCAAGUUCAGGGCAAAAAUGAAAAGGUGGGGCCGGGCGCCCUGGCUCACACCUGUAAUCCCAGCACUUUGGGAGACUGAGGAAGGCAGAUCACUUGAGGUCAGGAAUUUGAGACUAGCUUGGCCAACAUGGGGAAACCCUGUCUGUACAAAAAAUACAAAAAAUUAGCCAAGCGUGCUGGCGCGCCUGUAGUCCCAGCUUUGCA